This 402-nucleotide ribosomal RNA is filed under the name uncultured bacterium. Its description in RNAcentral is "bacterial SSU rRNA". It matches the Rfam family "Bacterial small subunit ribosomal RNA", at positions 355 to 774 of the family's 1533-position model. The record is from RNAcentral.
UCGGGAAUUUUGGGCAAUGGGCGAAAGCCUGACCCAGCAACGCCGCGUGAGGGAUGAAGUAUUUCGGUAUGUAAACCUCGAAAGAAUGGGAAGAAUAAAUGACGGUACCAUUUAUAAGCUACGGCUAACUCCGUGCCAGCAGCCGCGGUAAUACGGAGGGUGCGAGCGUUAUCCGGAUUUACUGGGUUUAAAGGGUGCGUAGGUGGGCUUAUAAGUCAGUGGUGAAAUCUCCGAGCUUAACUUGGAAACUGCCGUUGAUACUAUAGGUCUUGAAUUAUCUGGAGGUAAGCAGAAUAUGUCAUGUAGCGGUGAAAUGCUUAGAUAUGACAUAGAACACCAAUUGCGAAGGCAGCUUACUACAUAUAAAUUGACGCUGAGGCACGAAAGCGUGGGGAUCAAACA